GGGGGGGCAAGCGUUUGUUCGGAUUUACUGGGCGUAAAGGGCUCGUAGGCGGCCACCUAAGUCGAUUGUGAAAUCCCUCGGCUCAACCGGGGAACUGCGACCGAUACUGGGUGGCUUGAAGCCGGGAGAGGGAUGCGGAAUUCCAGGUGUAGCGGUGAAAUGCGUAGAUAUCUGGAGGAACACCCGUGGCGAAGGCGGCAUCCUGGACCGGCCUUGACGCUGAGGAGCGAAAGCUAGGGGAGCGAACGGGAUUAGAUACCCCGGGUAGUCCUAGCCCUAAACGAUGAAUGCUUGGUGUGGCGGGUAUCGAUCCCCUGCCCGUGCCGUAGCUAACGCGUUAAGCAUUCCGCCUGGGGAGUACGGUCGCAAGGCUG
RNAcentral lists this ribosomal RNA (374 nucleotides) under uncultured organism. RNAcentral's name for it is "partial 16S ribosomal RNA". It matches the Rfam family "Bacterial small subunit ribosomal RNA", at positions 528 to 896 of the family's 1533-position model. The record is from RNAcentral.